CUGCUGAGAAAUUACAACCAGUUCAUGAGGGCCCUUAGAAGACGUUUUGAAGAUCAUUUAGCUGAACGAAAGGCGAGACUCAGAAUGAAGAGCAUUCAGCAGGGCCGGAGGCCGGUGGCAGAGUAUAUCCAAGAGUUUCGUGAACUGGCACCUUAUAUGACAGGCUGGUCAGAAAUGGCGCUUUUGGAGAAACCAAUGGGGUACUCGAACAAUACCUUAGAUGUUACGUGAAUUACCAACAGGACAAUUGGGUAGACUUGUUGCCAUUUGCAGAAGUGGCGUAUAACAAUUCUGUGCAUAGUAGCACCGGAUUCACCCCUUUUAAGGUUGCAUCAGGCCAGGAUUUUGUACCCAUUCCCGAGUUACCUCAAGAGGAUCCUCAAAAUCCCUCUUUGAUAGACUGGAUAGAACAAUUAAGGAGCACCUGGACAGUGACUCGUAAGGCAUUAGAUGAGGCACACCGAGCUCAUAAGGCACAAGCCGAUAAGAAAAGGUCCCCAACUCACAUUUACAAAGUGGGGGAUAAAGUUUAUUUGUCUACCAAAUACUUACAAACCACCCAGAGGUCUAAAAAGCUGGGGCCUAAGUAUGUAGGACCAUUCCGUGUGAUCAGACUGAUAAAUCCAGUGACAGUUGAAUUAGAAUUACCAAAAACUUUGAGACGAAUACAUCCUGUAUUUCAUGUUAGUUUAUUGAAACCUGAACACUCAUCUCCCCUAAGGGUUGAUCAUAGCAACCCUCCAAUUCCCAUCCUAGUAGAAGGGGAGCAACAUUUUGAGGUUAAGGAAAUCUUGGACUCUAGAAAACACCAUGGUAAAAUCCAAUAUCUGAUUGCCUGGAAACAUUUUCCACUAUCUCAGGCUGAAUGGGUAAAUAAACGGGAUGUCCGAGCUCCCAAGAAAGUUCAACAGUUCUAUGCCAAAUACCCUGAUAAACCUUGAUCAUUGUAUAUA
This is a non-coding RNA of Pantherophis guttatus, 953 nucleotides long. Lineage: Eukaryota; Metazoa; Chordata; Lepidosauria; Squamata; Colubridae. The record is from RefSeq and is a predicted model, not a curated record.